Molecule: ribosomal RNA, 103 nt
Filed under: Amicia zygomeris
Lineage: Eukaryota; Viridiplantae; Streptophyta; Magnoliopsida; Fabales; Fabaceae
Description: partial 5.8S ribosomal RNA
Rfam family: 5.8S ribosomal RNA
About the family: 5.8S ribosomal RNA (5.8S rRNA) is a component of the large subunit of the eukaryotic ribosome.
Source: RNAcentral
AUACUUGGCGUGAAUUACAGAAUCCCGUGAACCAUCGAGUCUUUGAACGCAAGUUGCGCCCGWAGCCAUUAGGCCGAGGRCACGCMUGCCUGGGUGUCAYUAA